GGUUUCUGUAAACUUUAAAAGUCCUAAUAUUUUAUAAAUUCUAUUUGUAGCACUGUUUAAAUCUUUCUAAAUCAAUUUCCUUAUAAUCCAUUUUGUACAUCAUGGGUGUCGAGGAAGCUUUGACCCUUAAACCUGAAAAAUUCAAUGGUCACGGGUUCUUUAGAUGGCAGGAAUAACUUAAAGUCUAGUUAAUCACACUUGGCCUAAUCACUGCCAUUGAAAAAAGACCACCUUAUGAUGUAUC
Molecule: long non-coding RNA, 244 nt
Filed under: Elaeis guineensis (African oil palm)
Lineage: Eukaryota; Viridiplantae; Streptophyta; Magnoliopsida; Arecales; Arecaceae
Description: long non-coding RNA (EGUI_LNC076142)
Source: RNAcentral